This 463-nucleotide ribosomal RNA is filed under the name uncultured bacterium. RNAcentral describes it as "partial 16S ribosomal RNA". It matches the Rfam family "Bacterial small subunit ribosomal RNA", at positions 28 to 507 of the family's 1533-position model. The record is from RNAcentral.
GAUGAACGCUGACAGAAUGCUUAACACAUGCAAGUCGAUGGGGAAGUGGUGCUUGCAGCAUGGCAACCAUGGCGGACGGGUGAGUAACGCGUAAGGGACUUACCUGCAGGACUGGGAUAACAGGGGGAAACUCCUGACAAGACCGGAUAUUGUCAUGGAGCUGCAUGGCUUUAUGAUGAAAGGAGACGCCUGCGGAGAGCCUUGCGUCCUAUUAGCUAGUUGGUGAGGUAAUGGCUCACUAAGGCGAAGUUAGGUAGCCGGCCUGAGGGGGUGGACGGCCACAGGGGGACUGAGAUACGGCCCUUACUCCUACGGGAGGCAGCAGUGGGGAAUAUUGGACAAUGGGGGCAACCCUGAUCCAGCAAUUCUGUGUGCACGAAGAAGGUUUUCGGAGUGUAAAGUGCUUUCAGCAGGGAAGAAGUAAGUGACGGUACCUGCAGAAGAAGCGACGGCUAAAUACGUG